Long non-coding RNA from Wasmannia auropunctata (little fire ant), 1641 nucleotides. RefSeq lists it as uncharacterized. The transcript has 3 exons. Lineage: Eukaryota; Metazoa; Arthropoda; Insecta; Hymenoptera; Formicidae. The record is from RefSeq and is a predicted model, not a curated record.
AAGUCGCCCCCAGGUCGGGUUGUAUCAGCGCAAUGUUCGUCUGUACUUAUCUACUUCGUUGAUAAAAUAUUUCGCCAAGGGGAAACAAUACGGCGUAAUGAGUCACUAUGUAAACGUUAUUAACUAUCAAGGAUGCAAAUAGCCUUUCAAAAUCUGAGGAAGACAUACGAUGAAAUUUUUUUUCCAUAACACUCUAUAUAUAUCUAAAGAUUAAGCUAUGCUCUGAACUUGUUAAUAUUGCACAUAUUAUCAGAUAAUACUCGUUUAACCUUAAUGCAAACGAGAUCAUCAUAAUUUUGCCGAUUUUUGCAAUUAAAAAAUAUUUUCUGAAAACUCCCGCACCCCUUGAACGUUAUAAAUAAAUAACUUUUUCAAACUCAAUUGAGUUCUUUAUUGGUGUACAAUUAUUUAACAAUUUUAUUGAACACUGUGUUCACAAGUGACAAAAUUUGAUCGUCAAGAAACGAAUAACAAUUUCGAGCAGCAAUUUUUUCACAGCAACAUUCGCGCGAUGUAAUAAAAAAAAUGUCGGGCACUCUAUCACGAUCACGAUUUCGAUCACGAGCGAUCUCUCCGACUUCUGACUACCUUCCGCUGCGAACGUUCUACGCGAGAUGGCUGCGGUUGACUGCGUUGUAGCAUGUUACUCGUCUUGGAAGUUAAGGCCUGUUAUAAACCGCGGGAGAGAGGGGAAGGGCGUCUGUUCGUGGGAGUCGUUUAUAUUUUCGGCGUGCAGUGUUUAUUACCUCAUACUAAUGGAAUUUUAGUAAAUGGAAUGCCAAAAGAAAGUUAUUUCGAUGUCUGAUAAUGUCACAAUUAAAUAUGGUAGAAAGAAUAUGCGGUCCUCAACUGGAAUUAGACAAAUUUAAUCCUGCGCGCGCGAAAGAAGUCCGUGGUGCGCGGAUUGAGAGCGGAGAUAACAAGAAUAAGCUUAAUUUUCGUCGAGUUAUUAGAGCACGAGGAGAGAAAGAGGGGAAUUGAGUUAGCUGAGGGCGUAUACCACGAGGAUUAUUGUACGGCCUGUAAAAUCCAGGCUGGACCGCGCGAUCAAAUAUUUAGAAGAAUUUUCCAGGCAUAUCAGACUAAGAAGAGAAGAAAGAGAGAGAAAGAGAGCGAGAGCGUAUGUGUCCUGAACGUGCUUUAUAUAUAGCGGAGCUCCUUCCAGCUGCUCACUUCAAAAAGCCCGGGCAGUGAGUCCACGGGAAAGUCUGUGAAACUUUAACAGCGUCUUAAAUACUUAACUCUCGCCCGCAUCGGUUCUAAACUUAGCGAUGGAAUUACCGUAACUCCUUCAGUUACAAAUAACCCUCAUAUUUGAGGUCGUAAUAUCGUAACUUAUUGCGAUGAAUGCGGACAAUAAGCUCGUAGAUUAGGUAUUUAUGCAGUAAAUUCAAUCAAACAUUUAAUUUACUUAUUCAAGGCCAUUGCCUUCGAAGGGUAUAAAGAGAAUGUAGCAGAAGGUGGUCUUAGCCUCGAUUUUAACUCGUUACUUGUUAAAACUUGUAAAGACGAGCUUUUUGUGAAUAUUGAAUUUUUCAUAUUCUGCCUUUUAUAUUGAAUAGCAUUAUUGAGCGACUUGGUAGCAAUGAAUAAUACAUUAAUUAAAAUCUUAAACUUGAAAAUAGAGAAAAUUACUCUAUA